Molecule: ribosomal RNA, 254 nt
Filed under: uncultured bacterium
Lineage: Bacteria
Description: partial 16S ribosomal RNA
Rfam family: Bacterial small subunit ribosomal RNA
Source: RNAcentral
UACGUAGGGUGCGAGCGUUGUCCGGAAUUAUUGGGCGUAAAGAGCUCGUUGGCGGUGUGUCGCGUCGGCCGUGAAAACCUGCAGCUUAACUGUGGGCUUGCGGUCGAUACGGGCAUCACUGGAGUUCGGCAGGGGAGACUGGAAUUCCUGGUGUAGCGGUGAAAUGCGCAGAUAUCAGGAGGAACACCGGUGGCGAAGGCGGAUCUCUGGGCCGAUACUGACGCUGAGGAGCGAAAGCGUGGGGAGCGAACAGG